Long non-coding RNA from Empidonax traillii (willow flycatcher), 229 nucleotides. RefSeq lists it as uncharacterized. NCBI's taxonomy places the organism in Eukaryota, Metazoa, Chordata, Aves, Passeriformes, Tyrannidae. The record is from RefSeq and is a predicted model, not a curated record. The transcript is spliced from 3 exons.
UCAAAUAUCACCUCCUAAGGGCACAGGAGGAGCAAUUCCCAAAUGUCGGAAGUCAAGCAGAGUCUCACACUGGGGAUAUCUGGCAAUCAGCUUACACAUUCAUUGGUUUGCAUAAGGGGUGGAGACAGGAUUGCACAGUGGCAGCAACUAUGCAAACAACUCAUUUCACUCUAGCUCCCCCAGAAUCUGGUCCCACAUCCUCUGCAGCUGCAGAAGAAUUCAAACAGGC